Rosa chinensis is the source of this 1310-nucleotide RNA transcript. It is a transcript of the gene named equilibrative nucleotide transporter 3-like, with no coding region annotated. NCBI's taxonomy places the organism in Eukaryota, Viridiplantae, Streptophyta, Magnoliopsida, Rosales, Rosaceae. The record is from RefSeq and is a predicted model, not a curated record. The transcript has 5 exons.
UUAUCAAAGGGGAGGUUUGCUGCAAUGGUAGUCUGUUGGCUUCUGGGAAAUGGGUGCCUCUUUUCAUGGAACAGUAUGAUUACAAUCUUAGAUUACUAUGCUGCAUUGUUCCCGAGAUAUCAUCCGCCGAGGGUCCUCACUCUAGUGUAUCAGCCGUAUGCGCUUUUUACACUCGUAGCAUUGUCAUAUAAUGAAGCAAAGAUCAAUACUAGGAAGUGGAAUUUAUUUGGAUAUACCUUAUUUUUCCUAAGUACUCUUUUGGUGCUAGUGUUGGAUUUAGCUACAUCCGGAAGGGGAGUUCUAGAAUACGCAGGCUGUAACUUACAGCCAUCGUGAAGGGCGACGUGGCGCAAGGAGAACCACUGAAUGUGUCAAAGUGUGGCUGAAGGUCAUUUCACAGUUAACGGCGCCGUUAGGGUAAAACACGUUUUACAGCCUCCUCACUGGCGCAUCAGCAACCACAACAUUAUCCCAUAUCCUUUCCCCUCCAAUUCUCCAAACCCCCACUUUACUCAUACCCAAAGUCACUUUUGUUCUUUCUCUCCUCUCACCACUCAGACUUCACAACCAAACCAUUCGUUUUCUGCUCUUUAACCAAAAUCCAAUCUUUGAACACAAACCGAUUCGUGGGUUUUCCGGGAAAGCAAUUGGGUUUUUGUUUGAAAGGAAGUUGAGGAUCGUUGAAAGGAAGUUAAGGGUUUUGUGAAUGCAAAAGAGGAUGGCAUUGAUGAAGCUGAGAAGCCAUGCGUGCUGAACCCGUUGAAACCGUUAAAAGCCUUCCAAAAACCGAGAGCACAGCAGCCAAAGCCCAAUUCUCUCUCUCUCCUCUCUCUGUGUUUUGCUUCCUUUCUCCAAAGGUCUUCGCUUUCUUAUGCGCGCCCAAUUUCUCAAGUUUGAAGGAUCAAUGCUGGACCCAUUCCUGUGCUCUGUUACUUGUUAUUGAUGUCAAGUUGAAUCUGUCUGGAGUGGUGGUCAUUUGAGAUGCUUAUCUUGCUGUCCGGAAUUCUACAAAAUCCGGCUCUUGAAACUUCAGUUCUGUCUGUAUGGCACAUAAGGCGAGGGCUAGGAUAUAUGAGGGAAGCUCUCUCGAAGCUAAUGGAUUGCUGAACUAAGCAGAGAUUAACAAGUAGUAGUGAAGGAGUUGCUCUAUGCCUUUGUGCAUUGCUUUUGGCAACUAAAGCAUAUCUGUAAUACCCCGAAAAAUCCAAAUUAAAUUCCGUGGAUUUUUAGAAUUGAUUUCGCGGUAUUAGGAGCGAGUACGAAGCUUGGAGAAGAUGAGGAAGUAGUUCGAACGAUUUUAUUUUCGAAAU